This 483-nucleotide ribosomal RNA is filed under the name Escherichia coli. RNAcentral's name for it is "bacterial SSU rRNA". It matches the Rfam family "Bacterial small subunit ribosomal RNA", at positions 229 to 704 of the family's 1533-position model. The record is from RNAcentral. Lineage: Bacteria; Pseudomonadati; Pseudomonadota; Gammaproteobacteria; Enterobacterales; Enterobacteriaceae.
GCCCAGAUGGGAUUAGCUAGUAGGUGGGGUAAAGGCUCACCUAGGCGACGAUCCCUAGCUGGUCUGAGAGGAUGACCAGCCACACUGGAACUGAGACACGGUCCAGACUCCUACGGGAGGCAGCAGUGGGGAAUAUUGCACAAUGGGCGCAAGCCUGAUGCAGCCAUGCCGCGUGUAUGAAGAAGGCCUUCGGGUUGUAAAGUACUUUCAGCGGGGAGGAAGGGAGUAAAGUUAAUACCUUUGCUCAUUGACGUUACCCGCAGAAGAAGCACCGGCUAACUCCGUGCCAGCAGCCGCGGUAAUACGGAGGGUGCAAGCGUUAAUCGGAAUUACUGGGCGUAAAGCGCACGCAGGCGGUUUGUUAAGUCAGAUGUGAAAUCCCCGGGCUCAACCUGGGAACUGCAUCUGAUACUGGCAAGCUUGAGUCUCGUAGAGGGGGGUAGAAUUCCAGGUGUAGCGGUGAAAUGCGUAGAGAUCUGGAGG